GGUAAAACUCAUUAUAUUGGCAUCAUAAUUCCACCGAAUUAGAUGCUCAAUGUAAAAGCUAAACCAAAUCGAAAAUUCAUUUACGCUGUCAGUGUUUAGAAACGGCAUUCACAAUCGUUGCAACCAAGCUCAGUUAUCAAUGUUAAGGUAUUCGUCUCUCUUCUCUGUUCCUUCUACUCUCAAUUUGUUUCUUCUUCAUCGUCGAUUACACAUUCAGCCUCUUCCUUCGUUCAUUGACAAUGUUAAUGAUGCUGUUUCCUCAUUCAAUCGUAUUCUCCAUAUGAAGAAUCCUACCCCACCCAUCUUUGAAUUUAAUAAGAUUUUAUCUUCUCUUGCUAAGUUGAAUCAUUUCAAUAUUGCUAUUUCUUUUUCUCAACAAAUGGAACUUAAACCAAUUCAACCUGACAUUUUUACUUUAAGCAUCUUGAUUAAUUGUUUUUGCCACUUGAAUCAACUCAAUUACGCUUUUUCUAUAUUGGGUAAGAUUCUUAAACUAGGUUAUGAGCCGAAUACUGUAACUUUAACUACACUUAUCAAAGGUCUUUGUCUUAAUGGUGAGGUUAGGAAAGCCCUUUACUUUCAUAACGAUGUUAUAGCAAAGGGAUUUUAUCUUAAUGAGGUUAGUUAUGGGACCUUGAUCAACGGAUUAUGUAAAUCCGGUGAAACUAAAGCUGCAUUGUCGUUGCUUAGAAAGAUUGAAGGCUCGUUGGUUAAGCCUGAUGUCGUUAUGUACAACACAAUCAUUGACAGUCUCUGUAAAGAUAAGCUUGUUAGUGAUGGGUAUGAUUUAUAUUCUGAAAUGAUUGUUAAGAAAAUUUAUCCUGAUGCCAUCACUUACAAUACUCUAAUAUAUGGUUUUUCUAUUUUGGGUCAAAUGAAAGAAGCAGUUGGUUUGUUAAAUCGAAUGACGUUGAAAAACGUCAACCCCAAUGUUUACACCUUUAGUAUUUUGAUUGAUGUUUUAUGUAAGGAUGGAGAGGUGAAAAAAGCUAGAAAUGUGUUGGCUGUUAUGAUAAAACAAGGCGUGGAACCCAAUAUUGCUACUUAUAGUUCUUUAAUGGAUGGGUGUUUCUCGGUUAAAGAAGUGAACAAGGCCACAUAUGUAUUCAACACUAUUGCUAGAAGGGGAGUGGCUCUUGAUGUUCAGAGCUACAGUGUUAUGAUUAACGGAUUUUGCAAGAAUAAAAUGGUGGAUGAAGCAGUUAAUCUCUUCAAAGAAAUGCAUUCCAAAAAUAUGGUUCCUAACACUGUAACAUACAAUUCCUUAAUUGAUGGACUUUGCAAAUUAGGGAGAAUGUCUGAUGCUUGGGAUUUUAUAGAUGAGAUGCAUGAUAGAGGUCAACCAGCGAACAUUAUCACUUACAGUUCUUUAUUAGAUGGAUUGUGCAAAAACCAUCAGGUUGACAAGGCAAUCACUUUGUUAACGAAGAUCAAGAACCAAGGAAUUCAGCUAGAUAUCUAUACAUACACUAUACUUGUUGAUGGACUGUGCAAAAAUGGAAAACUUAGGGAUGCACAAGAGGUUUAUCAGGUUCUUCUGAAUAACACCUAUCAUUUAGAUGCUAGGAUAUAUACUGUGAUGAUUAAUGGGCUUUGUAAAGAAGGGUUUUUUGAUGAAGCAUUGUCCUUACUCUCAAAAAUGGAAGACAACGGUUGCACUCCUGAUGGUGUAACUUAUGAAAUUAUUAUUCGUGCUUUGUUUGAAAACAACAGAAAUGAUAAGGCGGUGAAACUGAUUCGUGAAAUGAUUGCUAGAGGUCUACUCUAAAGAGUAAAACUAGGUAAGAUGUUUUCUACUUACAAUUUGUUAUUAUGAAUUUUAAAACAAGCAUCCAAUAUUUAUUUGCUUUUACUGCAACUUGAAAAGGAAAUUGGACUCUUCAGCAAGCUAACUACAGCUGAAGUCAUGUGUUGUAAGGUUCAUAUUGAUGUUGUAACAACUAACAAUAGUGGAUGAUCUGUUUUAUUUUAUUUUUUCUUCUCUUGACAUUUUAUAGCUGGAGUAUGUUUACACCUUAUACUCAGUUCUUUUAGCAUUACAUUAGUCUUUUAAUGUUCAGUAACCCAGAGUGUUACUGUUCUAGUAAAAAAGAAAUCAUAACUAAAUAUUAUUGAAUAAUUGUAGAUCUCAAUUGAUGUUAAGCUAAUACCUCACCAAUGGUUUGGUCAAAAAAGAAAAAAAAAAAUACGUCAUCAAUGUUUACCUUAGAAUAGAAGCAGAUAUGAACAUGAAUUCUUUCUCAAUCUGCUAAGUCACUAAUGCUUUUAUUUGAUUCUCUGUUUUAUUAAUGUGGUUCUUGCCAUAAAAUUUGGACACUUAACACUUUUGAUAUCAACUUCUAGAGGGGGAGUUACUAGUUGCUUGAGAUUCUUAGGCCAAACUAACAUAGAUGUGCAAAAAGUUGGUUUGAGAGAAAUUUUCCCUAAGCUAGUUGUACACAGACAUCUUCAUGAUUACAUGUUCUUUACUCUUGAACAUGCCAAUCCCUAAGUUUGCUAAAUAUCUAGUUUUAUAAGUUAUAACUUCAAUGCAUAUACAAUUAAUCUGAAAUGUUAGAAAGCUGAUUUAUGUAUGACCAUACAUAAAUCUGAAAUGUCAGUAAGGUGAAAUGUAUGACCAUACAUUUCAGUGAUUUAUCAAAGUAUCAUCCCCAAAUACUACAAGAAUAUCCCCAUAGUUGAGAUUAAACAAGCUUCAUGUAUCUGAGGUAUGAAUGUAGUAAUAUUGAGAAUUCCAUUCUAUCCAUUUCUCAAACUCACUUUUCUUUUAUGAUCUCAGGCAGUGCCGCUAUUCUACAAUGGUUUUUAAAUUAUUUAUUUCCUAGGCAAAAUACAUGUAGCCAGCCGCGACAACGUCACUCAAUUCACUAGCUUGUGUAUCGACGUCGACAUUCUUUCCUACAUUAUUUAAGUGGAUCACUGAAUAAACCAUGGAGUAAGUUCCAGUUAAACUCAGGAGCUGCAGGAGGUGUAGUAGACAUGAUAAGGCACUGGGAAGCUGAUUGCAAUUUGCACAGAGAAAUAACCUGAAGUGAAGUGAAUCCAAUUGGUGUUGUUAAUGAUAUAAUGGCUUCUGAUUUUGGAUUGAAUUUAUCCUGCAAUUUGUGUUGUCAGAUGGUUACAACUCCAAAUACCAUUUUGGAAAAAGAUUUUUAUGCAUGAGUUGGGAUGCACAUGUUGUGAACAUAAAGGAUUCACAUGUUGAUGUUCAUUUGUUUAAAUUGAUAGAGUAUAUCAUUCAAGAUCGUUAAAAACGUACGAUCAGUAUUGGAAAUGAACGGAGAAGUGGUGGAACGUGCGGAACCA
Molecule: RNA transcript, 3306 nt
Organism: Medicago truncatula (barrel medic)
Lineage: Eukaryota; Viridiplantae; Streptophyta; Magnoliopsida; Fabales; Fabaceae
Gene name: pentatricopeptide repeat-containing protein At1g12775, mitochondrial
Exons: 2
Source: RefSeq, a predicted model, not a curated record